Molecule: long non-coding RNA, 806 nt
Organism: Mustela erminea (ermine)
Lineage: Eukaryota; Metazoa; Chordata; Mammalia; Carnivora; Mustelidae
Exons: 3
Source: RefSeq, a predicted model, not a curated record
CAGUUUCUCCAUCUGCAGAAUGGUACAUAAAUCUCUCCUUUUCCCUUGAAGUGAGGACGGACCAAGAAAAUGGAUUUGAAGAAUUGCUUUGGGAAAAGAGGUUUAAGGUGGUGCAUGCUGUUUUGUAACCUGGAAGCAGAUUGUCAACCACAGGUCACCCGGAGAGGCUCCUGAACACAGGCACACGACAGUGCUCUCUACUUCAUUACUACCUUCCCAGGACGGGUCACUCUGAGCCCUCUGGAGUUCAGACUAUUCAUCUGUAAGCUAAGGCUCAUCUAGCCCUACUGUGUGUCAGGGGCUAUCCUUGGACACAGCUGACAGAUGUCAGAGCUGGACUGGAGUGCGCCCGGGUGACACCAGGGUGUGUGCACAGAACUGUCACGUUACCUCCUGCUUCUCUGAAAUAAUCAACACUCUUUUUCCAUUCAUGUGAGAUAUGGAUGCAGGCUCCAGCGGAUGGCGUCCGGGACGCGCUACCCCCAAAUAUGGCACGGGGACAUAUUGAAUAUUUCAAGGAAUUAAAGGAAUUCAAAACAUGACAGGUGGACAAAGGGUUUUCCAACGUCCUGAAGCGGGUCAUAAAACUGCCACGUAUAAGUGCUCUCUGAACCUGCUGGAAAGAAGCACCCUUAUUUCUGAAGACCGAGGGAUACUGGGAAGAAGCUGAAUGAACAGACCUUGCUACAUUUCUCUCAGUUGAUGAUAUUUACCUCAUACUCUUUAUCCUAUCAUAUCUGUCUACCGCUUUCUACUCUUCAUCAAACCUAGCAGAAAGCCACUCAGGUUUAACUAUUUCUUUCUUC